AAAAGAGGAAUGAAAAC
RNAcentral lists this small RNA (17 nucleotides) under Arabidopsis thaliana (thale cress). RNAcentral describes it as "ATSL142140". Lineage: Eukaryota; Viridiplantae; Streptophyta; Magnoliopsida; Brassicales; Brassicaceae. The record is from RNAcentral.